CUCACCAGGAACCUUCCAGUGUCCUGCCAACGCAGGCGCUGCUCAGCCUCCAGUCUCGAUAUCGACCCCGCGAACCACCUACGACGAAACACACGGGCCACGUGAAGCCUCUCGAGCUACGGCAUUUAAACUGAUCUCGUCCGCUUCCGACGCCGCGAAAGAGAAAAGAGCCACAGCCUCCAUGCUGGGUGGACGGAGAGAGGGAGCGAGACACCCGGCGACGGCUUCACUCCAUGAAUGACGAGACGACGGGGCUGAGUGAGUGGAGCACGGCGGGCUGAUGAUGCUCUCUGGCAGCAUGAGAUAAUCGCCACGUGCUUGUGCGCAGUCGCUGACAUCCCGCUCAUUAGUUAAUGAGGAGAGUUUUCUCUGGGCGCGUGUCCCUCUGUUCGUCCAUGUGACAGAGUUGGAGGGCGGACACGUGAAGACGCCGGACGGCCUCUUUGUCUCCGUCGUCCACUCACUUUUAACCCCGGGGGGUUUAAUGGAGACCUUCCUCCUGGGAAAUCAACGACGGUGGAGUCGGACACGGUGAAGGAAAGAACCUAAUAUAGAGUCUCAUGACACUUUCUCAGCAGAACAAAGGCUCCAGUUGCUCACCCCUUCUCCAAAUACAUAUAUAAAAUAUAUGGAAAUGUAUUAGAGGUGGGACUCAGUUAAAAAAAAAAAUCUAAUUAAUUAGAGGCUUUGUAAUUAUAUUAUUCAUCUCGAUUAAUCGCAUUUAACCACUUAACAAUAUUUGCCCCAAAAAGCAACAUUUUUUUACCUAAAUGGAUUUUAAUGGACAAUUGAAUAUUCCAUACUCUUUAAUGUCUGGAAAAAUACAUUUAAUUGCAUUUCAAUUCAAAACAUUAGAAAAAAAUUGGCCUUGGCCAAAACUGAGCAAGCCUAAAAUGCCACUUUAAGUACUUUUCUAGGACAGUAUUGACUUUAUAAUGGUUAAACGAAACGACAACAUUUAAACAGUGGUGUCUAGUUCUGGUAAAACAACCAUUUGACACUUAAAUCUCCUUUAACUCCUUAGCCCCAGGCGGCCUCUGCUUUCCAUUUAGAAGGUGGUGUAGGGUUGAAGUGCAAACUCUUUUUUUUUUUUUUGCACAAUUUGCACAAAACCACAGUUCAUCAAGGCUUCCAUCAAGUUUUUUUUUUUUUUUUUUUUAAUGAAUUUGGCUUUCCAUCAGUUCUAGCAACGCACUUUGAUUUGACUCUUUCAUCUUGGUAGGUGUUAGCUGAGCUCAGACAUGUGCGUCAGUGUAGUUGUUGUACUGAGAAAUCGUGCACUGACAAAAGUUCCACGUUGAUAGUAAUGCAAACUGAGAUUAAAUGCAUUAAUUUGUUUGUAUAUACAUAUAUAAACAGUAAGAGCUUCAUGAUUGUCACAAUAAAAUCUAUGUUUCAUGGUGUGACUGUAAACUCUCCUCAACCCCGGCAACAAAGACCAACAAGGAACUCGAGAGACAAUCUGCAGCGUGAGUAAUUCCCCAAACGUGACUUCACAAUAAAAACAACAGCACAGAUUCACAUGGAGCAGCAGGACAGUCUGCCACCGACUCACUCAACGCAAUAAAAUCACUCACUCACACACACACACACACACACACACACACACACACACACACACACACACACACACACACACACACACACACACACACACACACACACACACACACACACACACACACACACACACACACACACACACACUUCACUGGGACUACAUUAUUUAUUUGUUCAGAGAAAGUUUAAAAAUUUAGCAAAACUGAGUGUGAACCAUGUUUGACAUGACACUGAGUGAACAGAUCAGGUAACGGCGCUGGUUUGAAAACGAACGCACUUCAGGUUAGACGGGUCAUAGCAAAUACACCCCCAUUCAUAUCAACACAGAUGUCCACUCACUGCUUUUUCUUUCUUUUUCUUUUUUAAUCCACGGCCUGUAAAGACAAGGUGUGACCAAAUAAGACGGGAGUGUAGCCGGUGAGCUGCAUCGACCGGACCGUCUGGUGGUGAAUCGUGAAUGAAGGUCGACUCUGGUCGGGGUCAUGCAAAUAUGACUGUAUUGUAGAGUAUUAAAAUAUUUCUUUAAAAGCAAAACUGCAUCAUGAAAAAGAU
Molecule: long non-coding RNA, 2112 nt
Organism: Mugil cephalus (flathead mullet)
Lineage: Eukaryota; Metazoa; Chordata; Actinopteri; Mugiliformes; Mugilidae
Exons: 2
Source: RefSeq, a predicted model, not a curated record